CCUACGGGUGGCAGCAGUGAGGAAUAUUGGUCAAUGGACGCAAGUCUGAACCAGCCAUGCCGCGUGCAGGAAGACGGCUCUAUGAGUUGUAAACUGCUUUUGUACGGGGGUAAACGCAGAUACGCGUAUCUGUCUGAAAGUAUCGUACGAAUAAGGAUCGGCUAACUCCGUGCCAGCAGCCGCGGUAAUACGGAGGAUUCAAGCGUUAUCCGGAUUUAUUGGGUUUAAAGGGUGCGUAGGCGGUCGGAUAAGUUAGAUGUGAAAUCCCGAGGCUCAACCUCGGAAUUGCAUCUGAUACUGUUAGGCUAGAGAGUAGUUGCGGUAGGCGGAAUGUAUGGUGUAGCGGUGAAAUGCUUAGAGAUCAUAAAGAACACCGAUUGCGAAGGCAGCUUACCAGACUACUACUGACGUUGAGGCACGAAAGCGUGGGGAGCAAACAGGAUUAGAUACCCUGGUAGUC
This 460-nucleotide ribosomal RNA is filed under the name uncultured bacterium. RNAcentral describes it as "partial 16S ribosomal RNA". It matches the Rfam family "Bacterial small subunit ribosomal RNA", at positions 338 to 795 of the family's 1533-position model. The record is from RNAcentral.